CCUCCAGCUUUUUUGAGACUACAAUUCCCCUCAUCCCUGACCACUGGUCCUGUUAGCUAGGGAUGAUGGGAGUUGUAGUCCCAAAACAUCUGGAGG
Molecule: microRNA precursor, 96 nt
Filed under: Podarcis lilfordi (Lilford's wall lizard)
Lineage: Eukaryota; Metazoa; Chordata; Lepidosauria; Squamata; Lacertidae
Source: RNAcentral